UGCGUCCGUUAUUGGGACUCGGAGUCCUCAUUCUCCGGCUGCAUUUGAAGGAGUCGCCUGAAUGCGUCGCGGCCGCGGUGACGCAAUCGGUCUGGGAAGGAUGAGCAGCCUCCGGAGGACACAGCCGCUGGAUUGAGACACGGCCGCGAACUCCCGGUUCGCAGCUGCCCAGCCGACAUGGGCUGAUGCUCGGGUUGUGUAUUCAUCAGCAUCCGGCCAAAGCAAAACAACUCGCGUCCGGGGGACCCGCACAGCUCCCCCUCCGCUCCCGCGUCCCGCUUCCGGCCCGGCGGGUUUGCGUGUGAGUAUGCGGCUUGCUCGCUGAACGAACCCGCGGAGCCGCCGCGGCUCAGCCAGCUGUUUUGGUGAGCGAGGCUCGCCGCCGGUGGCUAGCAGGCUAACGCCAACUCAAGCUAGCCGCCGGUAGCCGCCGGUCGCCGCCGGUCGCUCGGCCCCGUUCAGUUCCGCCUCCUUCGGACGCAGCGUUGUGUCCGGCGUCUGGCGCCCCCCGUGUUGGCGAAACGUCGUUUCUCGUAGUUCGCUGCGGUGACGUGGACGACCCGGGACCGCUAGCUCGGGUGAACGGGUCUACGCGGCUUUGACGUGACGUUAAAAGGCCGAAGCCGUGGUGAUUACGUCACCCUGGUGGACACGAGGACGGGUCACUGCCCGGAAACCAUGUUCACGAGCAGCACGCGGGGGUGAAGGGCUGUGCAGCGACGCCCUCCAGGCUGCGCUACGGUGCCGAGCCCCCCUGCAGGGCCCCUGCUGGGGCCCUGCAGGGGCCUCCAGGUGGACUGACCUUCCCUCUUAAAGAAACGAUGGGCCGUCGCUUCUCUUUACUUAAUUGACAGUUUCUUGCCACAGUUUGGAUUAGAACGGUGGUGGAAUAGACGUCUUCUCCUACAGGACUGAGCACAACUGAUGGCCUCAAACAUAAAUCCCACAAAUGAACUCUGGACAAGGCGCACCUGUUGAUGGAAACCAUUGCAGGUCACCACCUCGUGAAGCCGGUUCAAAGAAUGAGUGUGAAGAAAUCACAAAAAGCUGGAGGAGAGAAGCACCAGUCGUCUUCUUACUGCUCUAAUAACCACGGUGAGAUGGACGUGUCUCCGUGAGGAGUCUGACCGUGUGAACGCAUGAACGGAUCCGGAGCACCGGCCCUUCGUCGCCCCACAGGGCAACAACUCUGUGCCGGGUUCAGGGUGGACGCCGGUCUGUCCUCCCUCCUCAUUCCUUCCCAUUGGCUCGCUUAUCACCAGUCAUGCAGGGACACGCGUGUGCGUGAGGACGUGUGUGCGUUCAGAGGAGCCGGGUCGUCUGUAGUUGAUUCUGCCCCGGUGCUGCCCGGCCCGGCUCCCCUCCCACCCGCUGCUGCUGCUGCUGCUGCUUUGGACUCUCCCUUUUUCAAUGGACUUCACAGCCUCUGACCAGCUUCCUGGAGCCAUGGGUGGAGUAAACACCACCCUUUGUCCGGGGCCAACCCUGUUUAAACCACAUCACGCGGUGGAGGUCUGCAAACGAUAAAGCUUGAUUGUUUGAUGCAUGUGUUGCUGCUUUCCCUCCACAUGUGUCCCCCUCUAACGGUCUUCAUUUGCUACAAGGGGAGCGAGAUAACGGGGGAGGAAGUGGAGGAGGGACGUCAUUUACCAAAAUGACUCCAAUUAAGAACCAAACCCAAUACAAAGAUCCGAGAGACUGUUUGCCGUUGCUUUAUGUGCGCGUUGCUUUAUUGGUAUUCUAACGUUCUCUUCCUAGUAUCCGCGCUGCACUUCGGCUGAUGAGUAACAGAAAGUUGUAGCUUUAAAGACGAAUGGAAUCAAAGGAAAUUCAAGAAUCAGCAUCAGCAGAAAGCUUCAGUGUAAAAAGGAGUUUUAGCAUCAAAUAAACGACAACGAAUCCACAAAACAAGAAGCACAGUACGUCUUUACUCCAGAGAAAAGCAAAAAUACCCGUGUUGAUUGUCAAACUAAUGUAAUCCGCUUCCCCCCACAAGGACUGAUAAACCGGCUUGAACCCGUUCAAACAAUCAUCCUCAGCUGGAUUCAUUCACGCAGAGGCCAAUGUACACAAGACGCACACAUUUACAUCUAAAAAAGCCUUUUAUGGAGGAUUCUGCUCCUAACAAGUGUGUCAGUCAGCAGUGAUCCUCUGCCAGCAGCUGUGUUGACUGUCCAACACACACACACACACACACACACACACACACACACACACACACACACACACCCCAGACGCGGCGCUCUGACCUGUCGGGGGGCGGAGCUGUGAAUGGCGCCCUGCAGCCUGAGGGAGCAGCAGGCUCCGUCAGCCUAAUGAGGGAGAUGUUUACCUGCUGAGGCCUCCUCUGAAACCUUCGUGUUGGCAGACGAGAGCGAGUCUCGUCGGCUGCAGCGGCUCGGGACGACGUCUUCAUCAAAGUUGUUAUGAUUUGAUGAUUUUGAAUAAUCGGCUGCGUUCCUUGUUGUGAUGUGACGAGGCGGCGCUCCGCCGCGUAGCGAGAGGCAGGUGUAGGAAUGACAUCAGAGCAGAUGCUCAGAGGCCACGUACCACUCUACUUUCAAUGCGUCCACAGCGUGAGUUAUGAUCCAUCUGGCUUGUUGCCAUGAAACACACAUUGAUACCAAAUGACAAUACAUUUAAUAAAUAACCAGCGGCGUCAUUCUGUCUAUUUGAGAGGGGCCGAAGCCCCCUGCCCUCCCAAAUCAUUCAAAAAUCAAAUCAAAUAUAUAUAUAUAUAUAUAUAUAAAUAUAAUUAUUAAUAAUUAAGUGUUUUUCAACCAUAAGGAUACAAACCUAGAAAAACAAGGAAGUGCAAUUUUAUUAAAUAUUAAUAAUAGAAUAUAUCCUACUGUGUUUAUUUUAUUUAUUUAUUUUUCCUGAGUAAUUGAAUGCCCUUUUGGUUUAAGCACCUGCCCCCCAAAUGUCUGUGCCCGUGCCUGAUUAUUCAUUAAAUAUACAAGUUUUUUCAUUGUAUUUAAUUCAUUUUAUUUUGUAAAGCCCAAAUUACAAAUCUGCCUCAGAGGGUUUUACAGUCUGUACACAUGUGACGUCCUCUGUCCUGAAACCCUCACAUGAGGAAACAAAU
Long non-coding RNA from Gasterosteus aculeatus aculeatus (three-spined stickleback), 3088 nucleotides. The record is from Ensembl. NCBI's taxonomy places the organism in Eukaryota, Metazoa, Chordata, Actinopteri, Perciformes, Gasterosteidae.